Molecule: ribosomal RNA, 519 nt
Filed under: uncultured bacterium
Lineage: Bacteria
Description: partial 16S ribosomal RNA
Rfam family: Bacterial small subunit ribosomal RNA
Source: RNAcentral
ACUCAAAGGAAUUGACGGGGGCCCGCACAAGCGGUGGAACAUGUGGUUUAAUUCGAUGCUACGCGAAAAACCUCACCAAGGCUUGACAUGCAGGAAGUAGCGAACUGAAAGGGGAGCGACCUGUCAAGUCAGGAGCCUGCACAGGUGCUGCAUGGCUGUCGUCAGCUCGUGUCGUGAGAUGUUGGGUUAAGUCCCGCAACGAGCGCAACCAUUUUCUCUUGUUGCCACCAUAUUUGGUCGUAAGACUAAAGUAUGAGCACUCUAGAGAGACUGCCUGGGAUAACCAGGAGGAAGGUGGAGAUGACGUCAAGUCAGUACGGCCUUUAUGCCUUGGGCUACACACGUGUUACAAUGGGAAGUACAGAGGGUUGCCAACCCGCGAGGGGGAGCUAAUCUCAAAAAACUUUCCUCAGUUCAGAUUGGAGUCUGCAAUCCGACUCCAUGAAGCCGGAAUCGCUAGUAAUGGCAGAUCAGCACGCUGCCGUGAAUACGUUCCCGGGCCUUGCACACACCGCCCGU